GAUGAACGCUGGCGGCGUGCCUAAUACAUGCAAGUCGAACGCUGGAGAUCUAGCUUGCUAGAUCGAAGGAGUGGCGAACGGGUGAGUAAUACAUAAGCAACCUACCCACGAAGACUGGGAUAAUCUCUGGAAACGGGGACUAAUACCGGAUAGGUAAUCGGAAGGCAUCUUCUGGUUAUUAAAGGUUAAAAACACUGGUGGAUGGGCUUAUGGCGCAUUAGUUAGUUGGUGAGGUAACGGCCCACCAAGACGAUGAUGCGUAGCCGGCCUGAGAGGGUGAACGGCCACAUGGGGACUGAGACACGGCCCAGACUCCUACGGGAGGCAGCAGUAGGGAAUUUUCGGCAAUGGGGGCAACCCUGACCGAGCAACGCCGCGUGAGUGAAGACGGCCUUCGGGUUGUAAAGCUCUGUUGUAAGGGAAGAACGGUAGAUAGAGAAUAUCUAAGUGACGGUACCUUACCAGAAAGCCACGGCUAACUACGUG
RNAcentral lists this ribosomal RNA (486 nucleotides) under uncultured bacterium. RNAcentral describes it as "partial 16S ribosomal RNA". It matches the Rfam family "Bacterial small subunit ribosomal RNA", at positions 28 to 507 of the family's 1533-position model. The record is from RNAcentral.